This 83-nucleotide small RNA is filed under the name Marmota monax (woodchuck). The record is from RNAcentral. Lineage: Eukaryota; Metazoa; Chordata; Mammalia; Rodentia; Sciuridae.
GCUGGGCACUGUGGCGCAUGCCUGUAAUCCCAGCAGCUUGGGAGCCUGAGGCAGGAGGAUUGAGAGUUCAAAGCCAGCCUUAG